Molecule: ribosomal RNA, 407 nt
Filed under: uncultured Microbacteriaceae bacterium
Lineage: Bacteria; Bacillati; Actinomycetota; Actinomycetes; Micrococcales; Microbacteriaceae
Description: bacterial SSU rRNA
Rfam family: Bacterial small subunit ribosomal RNA
Source: RNAcentral
UGGGGAAUAUUGCACAAUGGGCGAAAGCCUGAUGCAGCAACGCCGCGUGAGGGACGAAGGCCUUCGGGUUGUAAACCUCUUUUAGUAGGGAAGAAGCGAAAGUGACGGUACCUGCAGAAAAAGCACCGGCUAACUACGUGCCAGCAGCCGCGGUAAUACGUAGGGUGCAAGCGUUGUCCGGAAUUAUUGGGCGUAAAGAGCUCGUAGGCGGUUUGUCGCGUCUGCUGUGAAAACUGGAGGCUCAACCUCCAGCCUGCAGUGGGUACGGGCAGACUAGAGUGCGGUAGGGGAGAUUGGAAUUCCUGGUGUAGCGGUGGAAUGCGCAGAUAUCAGGAGGAACACCGAUGGCGAAGGCAGAUCUCUGGGCCGCUACUGACGCUGAGGAGCGAAAGCAUGGGGAGCGAACA